GGGAAUCUGCCCUUGGGUUCGGAAUAACAGUUAGAAAUGACUGCUAAUACCGGAUGAUGUCUUCGGACCAAAGAUUUAUCGCCCAAGGAUGAGCCCGCGUAGGAUUAGCUAGUUGGUGGGGUAAAGGCCCACCAAGGCGACGAUCCUUAGCUGGUCUGAGAGGAUGAUCAGCCACACUGGGACUGAGACACGGCCCAGACUCCUACGGGAGGCAGCAGUGGGGAAUAUUGGACAAUGGGCGAAAGCCUGAUCCAGCAAUGCCGCGUGAGUGAUGAAGGCCUUAGGGUUGUAAAGCUCUUUUACCCGGGAUGAUAAUGACAGUACCGGGAGAAUAAGCCCCGGCUAACUCCGUGCCAGCAGCCGCGGUAAUACGGAGGGGGCUAGCGUUGUUCGGAAUUACUGGGCGUAAAGCGCGCGUAGGCGGCUUUGUAAGUUAGAGGUGAAAGCCCGGAGCUCAACUUCGGAAUUGCCUUUAAGACUGCAUCGCUUGAAUCAUGGAGAGGUCAGUGGAAUUCCGAGU
Molecule: ribosomal RNA, 520 nt
Filed under: uncultured bacterium
Lineage: Bacteria
Description: bacterial SSU rRNA
Rfam family: Bacterial small subunit ribosomal RNA
Source: RNAcentral